CCUACGGGCGGCAGCAGUGGGGAAUAUUGCACAAUGGGGGGAACCCUGAUGCAGCGACGCCGCGUGAGUGAAGAAGUAUUUCGGUACGUAAAGCUCUAUCAGCAGGGAAGAAAAAAGGACGGUACCUGAGUAAGAAGCCCCGGCUAACUACGUGCCAGCAGCCGCGGUCAUACGUAGGGGGCAAGCGUUAUCCGGAAUUACUGGGUGUAAAGGGAGCGUAGACGGCAAUGCAAGUCCGGAGUGGAAUGCGGCAGCUCAACUGCCGAACUGCUCUGGAAACUGUAUGGCUUGAGUGCAGGAGGGGUAAGCGGAAUUCCUGGUGUAGCGGUGAAAUGCGUAGAUAUCAUACAGAACACCGAUUGCGAAGGCAGCUUACCAAGCUACUUCUGACGUUGAGGCACGAAAGCGUGGGGAGCAAACAGGAUUAGAUACCCGGGUAGUC
RNAcentral lists this ribosomal RNA (442 nucleotides) under uncultured bacterium. Its description in RNAcentral is "partial 16S ribosomal RNA". It matches the Rfam family "Bacterial small subunit ribosomal RNA", at positions 338 to 795 of the family's 1533-position model. The record is from RNAcentral.